This 151-nucleotide ribosomal RNA is filed under the name Pichia kudriavzevii. Its description in RNAcentral is "5.8S ribosomal RNA". It matches the Rfam family "5.8S ribosomal RNA". Rfam says of the family: 5.8S ribosomal RNA (5.8S rRNA) is a component of the large subunit of the eukaryotic ribosome. It is transcribed by RNA polymerase I as part of the 45S precursor that also contains 18S and 28S rRNA. The record is from RNAcentral. Lineage: Eukaryota; Fungi; Ascomycota; Pichiomycetes; Pichiales; Pichiaceae.
AACUUUCAACAACGGAUUUUUUGGUUCUCGCAUCGAUGAAGAGCGCAGCGAAAUGCGAUACCUAGUGUGAAUUGCAGCCAUCGUGAAUCAUCGAGUUCUUGAACGCCCCUUGCGCCCCUCGGCAUUCCGGGGGGCAUGCCUGUUUGAGCGU